CCUACGGGGGGCAGCAGUGGGGAAUAUUGCACAAUGGGGGAAACCCUGAUGCAGCGACGCCGCGUGAGUGAAGAAGUAUUUCGGUAUGUAAAGCUCUAUCAGCAGGGAAGAAAAUGACGGUACCUGUUUAAGAAGCCCCGGCUAACUACGUGCCAGCAGCCGCGGUAAUACGUAGGGGGCAAGCGUUAUCCGGAUUUACUGGGUGUAAAGGGAGCGUAGACGGCAGCACAAGUCUGGAGUGAAAUGCCGGGGCUUAACCCCGGAACUGCUUUGGAAACUGUGCAGCUAGAGUGCAGGAAAGGUAAGUGGAAUUCCUAGUGUAGCGGUGAAAUGCGUAGAUAUUAGGAGGAACACCAGUGGCGAAGGCGGCUUACUGGACUGUAACUGACGUUGAGGCUCGAAAGCGUGGGGAGCAAACAGGAUUAGAUACCCCAGUAGUC
RNAcentral lists this ribosomal RNA (440 nucleotides) under uncultured bacterium. RNAcentral's name for it is "partial 16S ribosomal RNA". It matches the Rfam family "Bacterial small subunit ribosomal RNA", at positions 338 to 795 of the family's 1533-position model. The record is from RNAcentral.